This 92-nucleotide small nuclear RNA is filed under the name Hucho hucho (huchen). Its description in RNAcentral is "Flavo-1 RNA (ENSHHUG00000009920.1)". Lineage: Eukaryota; Metazoa; Chordata; Actinopteri; Salmoniformes; Salmonidae. The record is from RNAcentral.
CAUUUGCGUGAGGGAUAGAAGCGGAAAGCCCACAGCAAAGUGUAGUGAUAGCGGAACUUUGCGAGGACUUGUAGCGUAUAGCCCGACCCUUG